ACCCCUGUGGCCGACAGGAUAAGGCGUCUGAUUCCUAAUCAGUUAAAUGUUGGUUCAAAUCCAGCCAGGGGUGCCA
RNAcentral lists this transfer RNA (76 nucleotides) under SAR324 cluster bacterium. Its description in RNAcentral is "tRNA-Arg". It matches the Rfam family "tRNA". Rfam says of the family: Transfer RNA (tRNA) molecules are approximately 80 nucleotides in length. The record is from RNAcentral. Lineage: Bacteria; Deltaproteobacteria.